UUGACCUCGGAUCAGGUAGGAAUACCCGCUGAACUUAAGCAUAUCAAUAAGCGGAGGAAAAGAAACCAACAGGGAUUGCCUCAGUAACGGCGAGUGAAGCGGCAACAGCUCAAAUUUGAAAUCUGGCCGCAAGGUCCGAGUUGUAAUUUGUAGAGGAUGCUUUUGGCAAGGUGCCUUCCGAGUUCCCUGGAACGGGACGCCAUAGAGGGUGAGAGCCCCGUACGGUAGGACCACCGAGCCUCUGUAAAGCUCCUUCGACGAGUCGAGUAGUUUGGGAAUGCUGCUCUAAAUGGGAGGUGUACGUCUUCUAAAGCUAAAUACCGGCCAGAGACCGAUAGCGCACAAGUAGAGUGAUCGAAAGAUGAAAAGCACUUUGAAAAGAGGGUUAAAAAGUACGUGAAAUUGUUGAAAGGGAAGCAUUUAUGACCAGACUUGGGCUUGGUUGAACAUCCGGCGUUCUCGCCGGUGCACUCUGCCAGUCCAGGCCAGCAUCAGUUUGCUCCGGGGGAUAAAGGCGGCGGGAAUGUGGCUCUCUCCGGGG
Molecule: ribosomal RNA, 541 nt
Filed under: Sarocladium zeae
Lineage: Eukaryota; Fungi; Ascomycota; Sordariomycetes; Hypocreales; Sarocladiaceae
Description: eukaryotic LSU rRNA
Rfam family: Eukaryotic large subunit ribosomal RNA
Source: RNAcentral